This 492-nucleotide ribosomal RNA is filed under the name uncultured bacterium. Its description in RNAcentral is "partial 16S ribosomal RNA". It matches the Rfam family "Bacterial small subunit ribosomal RNA", at positions 29 to 507 of the family's 1533-position model. The record is from RNAcentral.
AGUGAACGCUGGCGGUAGGCCUAACACAUGCAAGUCGAACGGCAGCACAGUAAGAGCUUGCUCUUACGGGUGGCGAGUGGCGGACGGGUGAGGAAUACAUCGGAAUCUACUUUUUCGUGGGGGAUAAUGUAGGGAAACUUACGCUAAUACCGCAUACGACCUACGGGUGAAAGCAGGGGAUCUUCGGACCUUGCGCGAUUGAAUGAGCCGAUGUCGGAUUAGCUAGUUGGCGGGGUAAAGGCCCACCAAGGCGACGAUCCGUAGCUAGUCUGAGAGGAUGAUCAGCCACACUGGAACUGAGACACGGUCCAGACUCCUACGGGAGGCAGCAGUGGGGAAUAUUGGACAAUGGGCGGAAGCCUGCUCCAGCCAUGCCGCGUGGGUGAAGAAGGCCUUCGGGUUGUAAAGCCCUUUUGUUGGGAAAGAAAAGCAGCAGGUUAAUACCCCGCUGUUCUGACGGUACCCAAAGAAUAAGCACCGGCUAACUUCGUG